Molecule: ribosomal RNA, 497 nt
Filed under: uncultured bacterium
Lineage: Bacteria
Description: partial 16S ribosomal RNA
Rfam family: Bacterial small subunit ribosomal RNA
Source: RNAcentral
GACGAACGCUGGCGGCGUGCCUAAUACAUGCCAGUAGAACGCUGAAGCUUGGUGCUUGCACCGAGCGGAUGAGUUGCGAACGGGUGAGUAACGCGUAGGUAACCUGCCUGGUAGCGGGGGAUAACUAUUGGAAACGAUAGCUAAUACCGCAUAAGAGUAGAUGUUACAUGACAUUUGCUUAAAAGGUGCAAUUGCAUCACUACCAGAUGGACCUGCGUUGUAUUAGCUAGUUGGUGAGGUAACGGCUCACCAAGGCAACGAUACAUAGCCGACCUGAGAGGGUGAUCGGCCACACUGGGACUGAGACACGGCCCAGACUCCUACGGGAGGCAGCAGUAGGGAAUCUUCGGCAAUGGACGGAAGUCUGACCGAGCAACGCCGCGUGAGUGAAGAAGGUUUUCGGAUCGCAAAGCUCUGUUGUAAGAGAAGAACGAGUGUGAGAGUGGAAAGUUCACACUGUGACGGUAUCUUACCAGAAAGGGUCGGCUAACUACGUG